Molecule: non-coding RNA, 1238 nt
Organism: Zootermopsis nevadensis
Lineage: Eukaryota; Metazoa; Arthropoda; Insecta; Blattodea; Termopsidae
Source: RefSeq, a predicted model, not a curated record
GAUUUAUUUCAUACUUUGCCUACUGACUUUAGGCAUUCUAUACAUUGCCGGUAACAUAUAUAACAAAAGACAAAAAUUGUUGUUCUCAGUUUAAAGAGAAAAAUUGUUUUCCUCUCUUUAUAUAACAUGGGAACUAUGGUGAAUCCUCUGCAUUGUCUUUGGGAAUAUACAAUUUCAUUCAAAAUUUAAAUCAAAAUGUAGUUUAUUUAAGAACAGUUUUGAUAACUCGGACUGUGUAGCAUCAAGUGAUGCGAUGAGUAAUGAAAUGGAAAACGUGAAAGAAGCAGUCAUAGCCAAAAUCUAUACACGGAUGUGAGAAUGCAUGUUGAAUAAAGAGUCUAACUUCUGAAAGUUAUUAAUAUCCAUCUGGUCUCAAGAUUCAGUUCCAAAUGGAGAUCUCUCUCUCUAUAUUUGCCAGCAUGCGCGUUACAGAAGUGCCUUCAAAUUGUCCACAAGUAAGCUGAAUUUAAAUUUAAAGAGCCAUACCAUCUACAUAAACAAAUUCAGUCUAACACUGACACAUUUUAAUUGGGAUUCAUUGUAAUAUCUUCCCAUGUCCAUAUUGAUUUUAUUCCUAGAAUCACUCGACCUAAAAACAUUCACUUCUGUUUCUUGCUUACUUAUCAUGACUGCCAGUACUUAUUAUAUUCAAAAUUUAUACCCUACUUUAAACCACUCUUUUAGUUUCGUGUAGAUCAGUUCCAUAUCUGAAGCAGAUUUUGCUAACCGCAGUUUUUAUUGUAUAUAAGAUGAAAUUAAUUGGAAACAUUUGGUUGCAGAGCCACUACCAAUGAAAGUGUUAGUAAUACCAUCCUGGAUGCACAAAUACAAGACCCUUUUCAUUUCUCUUAUGAAGUUAAAUUUUAUGCGUGAAAGCAGUAUGUGUCCUCGUGAUCUGCAUGGACGAUCGCUGUCGACCUGUCUCUGAUGCACUGUAUCUCGGGCGAACGCUGUCUGUUCCUCACACGGUCUCUGACAUGCAGUCUCUGAAAUGUCUAGUUGCGGCAGACACCACGAAAGGCAGAGACCUAGACGGUCAGACGCACCAUCGUUCACACACAGGGUCCUGCAGAGGCCAGUUGCUGCAGGUACCGAGGCAGACAGCAACCGGCCAUAUCAUUAUGCGAAAUCAUCAAUGAAAAAGAGCCCCAGCUGAGGAGGUGGUGUGAAGGGAUGGGAAGUGUUAAGACAUGAAGAAGGAUCUUCAGAGAAAACAUGCAAGAUGGGGCACUUUUCAC